This is a long non-coding RNA of Fundulus heteroclitus (mummichog), 256 nucleotides long. RefSeq lists it as uncharacterized. The record is from RefSeq and is a predicted model, not a curated record. The transcript has 3 exons. Lineage: Eukaryota; Metazoa; Chordata; Actinopteri; Cyprinodontiformes; Fundulidae.
UUUUUUUGAUGGGAACGUUCUAAAAGAUAACGAAGGCGUCCUCAGAAGAACUUGAAGUGAAGCACACCUCCCUCAGUCCGGCAAGCGGUCUAACCCAGACAGAAGGCUACAAAGAGAUGUGCAAUAAGGAAAAGUAUCCCUCUUCAGCACACUGUGAAAAGGACAAAGACAUUUAUGUGUGAAAUGUUUGUCUCCCCUUUUUAGAUCAUUUCAAGGCUCACAAUCAGUAUAAAAUUAACCAUUGUAAAAAUGAAAA